GGCGAACGCUGGCGGCGUGCUUAACACAUGCGAGUCGAACGGAAAGGCCCUGCUUUUGUGGGGUGCUCGAGUGGCGAACGGGUGAGUAACACGUGAGUAACCUGCCCUUGACUUUGGGAUAACUUCAGGAAACUGGGGCUAAUACCGGAUAGGAGCUCCUGCUGCAUGGUGGGGGUUGGAAAGUUUCGGCGGUUGGGGAUGGACUCGCGGCUUAUCAGCUUGUUGGUGGGGUAGUGGCUUACCAAGGCUUUGACGGGUAGCCGGCCUGAGAGGGUGACCGGCCACAUUGGGACUGAGAUACGGCCCAGACUCCUACGGGAGGCAGCAGUGGGGAAUAUUGCACAAUGGGCGGAAGCCUGAUGCAGCAACGCCGCGUGCGGGAUGACGGCCUUCGGGUUGUAAACCGCUUUCGCCUGUGACGAAGCGUGAGUGGCGGUAAUGGGUAAAGAAGCACCGGCUAACUACGUG
Molecule: ribosomal RNA, 468 nt
Filed under: uncultured bacterium
Lineage: Bacteria
Description: partial 16S ribosomal RNA
Rfam family: Bacterial small subunit ribosomal RNA
Source: RNAcentral